This is a long non-coding RNA of Brassica oleracea var. oleracea, 698 nucleotides long. RefSeq lists it as uncharacterized. The transcript is spliced from 3 exons. The record is from RefSeq and is a predicted model, not a curated record. Lineage: Eukaryota; Viridiplantae; Streptophyta; Magnoliopsida; Brassicales; Brassicaceae.
UUUACACUUUGAAGUAAUGCCUUGCGAGAAUCAAGGUAUAUGUUUUAUCGAUCUACUUAACCCACCAGCAGAGCUUGAGAAGAGGAAGCACAAGCUCAAGCAUCUUGUUCAAUCUCCCAACUCAUUCUUGCUUCCAACCGUGGUACCGUCAUGGAGCUUGGUAUCACUCCUAUUGUCACUUCUGGUCUCGUGAUGCAGCUCUUAGCUGGGUCUAAGAUCAUUGAGGUUGAAGAGGUGGGCAGAUACUUCUUCAUCUCAUGAAGAACAUCCUCCUAACAUAGACAAACGCUCGCUUCAGGAUCUGCUCUUCUUUCUCCAUGUUCCUCGAACUGGAGGCAGGACUUAUUUUCACUGUUUCUUGAGGACGUUGUAUGAUAACGCUGAGGAAUGUCCUCGUUCUUACGACAAGCUCCACUUCGAUCCAAGGAAGCAAAAGUGCAAGUUGUUGGCCACGCAUGAUGAUUAUAGUUUAAUGUCUAAGCUUUCACUGCAAAUCCACCCUUCAAGUCAGUUUCUUUAUUAUAUUUUCAUCACUCUCUGUCUAUGAAUAUGAAUGAAUGUUUGAUAUUAACUUGGAUUGUCUACAUUGAUGUUUUCAUAUGUUUGUUCUUUCUUCUUUUUCUCAUGUUCUUCCUUAACAUGUGUUUUUGUUAUUUUUUUUGUAAGAACCCAUAAAUAAGAAACUCCCAUUGGAACAU